Molecule: unclassified non-coding RNA, 691 nt
Filed under: Bombus terrestris (buff-tailed bumblebee)
Lineage: Eukaryota; Metazoa; Arthropoda; Insecta; Hymenoptera; Apidae
Description: misc RNA ENSBTSG00005026600.1
Source: RNAcentral
GUGAUUCUACGCGAAAAAAGAAGUCGAAAAUAUAGAAUAAAAAUUUUUCGUUCGAGGCUUUGUUUUCGAGAAAAUCGACUUUGAAUUUUCAAGUAAGAUGGAACGUAAACGUCUGGGCUGGCAUAAUCGGAUAUCUAAUUAUUGGGCCAUAUUUUUUCGAAGGAAAUGUAACGUCAGCAGCAUAUUUCGAUUUCUUACAAAACAAAUUACCGGAAUUAUUAGAAGAUGUACCGCUGAGAACUAGAGGAAGUUUAAUUUUUCAACAAGACGGUGCACCGCCACAUUUUAGUCGUCAUGUGAGAGAUUUUUUAAACCAACAUGACCAAGGUUGGAUUGGUCGUGCUAGAACAAUAGAUUGGCUACCACGCUCUCCUGAUUUAACUCUGCUUGAUUUUUAUUUAUGGAGCCAUAUUAAAUCAAUUGUGUAUUCUGAAGAAAUCGCAAGUUGCGAGCAAUUUAAAGAAAAGAUUAUUGUAGCCUUUCAUACUCUAAAACAAUCGAAUACGUUAGAAAGUGUUCAUAGAAAUUUAAUUAGAAGAGCAGAAGUAUGUGUUCUGCAGAAUGGGCAACAUUUUCAGCAAUUUUUGUAAUAAUAAACUUUAUGAUUACUUCAUAUUAUUUCAUUAUGUAUUCCUAAUUUUCCGUUACGGCAAAAACAAAUUUAAACUGCGAUAAUAUUCAUCGAGACAAC